AAAAACACUCUACACAGUUUUGCGCUUUGAGGUGUCCAACCCCUACUCUGUUUGGUUGGUUUGCCUGAUGCCAUCCUGACUAUCUAGCUAAUCCUAUUCUAAAGGCACCUUGAAAUCUAAGAAAGCUUAACUAACUGUUUGUUAGUGCAAAUACUUAACUCAUGCAGUGCGGCCAGGAGCUGUCGUGGGCCUCGUUCCCGUCGGUAGGCGUCAAGCCUCUCGUACCGGAAGUCCCAGCUGAGUAGGCGGCAAAGGCUCCGCGACGUUGGUUCUAGACGUUCUGGUAGUUGAGAGGCAUCCUCCUUCGUAACACAGUCGUGUGUUCGAAGAUUCUGCUCGUGAGUAGUUAGUUUCCGGUCGGCCGCUUCUGUUCCGCAUUUGUCGUUCUUGCGCGUCGAUGCGUGUGCAUACUCCUCGCGUCGGGUAACAGUGCAGUGGCGAUACCCCUUGCGCUGAGAGGCAGGCCGGCGGCGUUUCGACUGAACCAAGACCAAGACAUCUCGUCGGCGGAAGUGGGUCUAUUUGUCGCUGUGCCCGCUGGAAUGAGAGCCAGUGUCGGAGAUCCUUUCGCUGCUUCUGUUUCGCUGUGAUCCAGAGUCGUAAAUCAUCCUCUUGGUCCUGUUGAUCGCUUCUUGCUGUCGGUAAUGCUGUGAUUCAAGGCUGCCUCCGCCUGGAUGCUGAAGAAUGGGGACGUCACACUGGCCGAUUUUGUGGUUGGUUUCACAAACCGGAAGUUCAUGCUGUGCUGUUUCUGCUGAAGUAUGCUGUUGAGCCUGUGCUACGGUUGAAGUGUCCGUAUUUCUUGGGUGAUAAUUCGUUCGAGAAAACUUCUUGAUACGCAGUUCGAUGUGGAGCCAGGUUUUCGGUUUGGGUUUCUUGCACUGCGGCGCUGACGGAGCUCGUCGCCUGCGGAAGACUAGGAGUACUACUGGAUGGAGAUCUACAUAAAUUUUGUGAGCAUGAGCAAGCAAUACAUUCUGUGAAGGCCUGAGACUGGGACAUUUGCCAAACUACUUUCGGUGCUUCCUGUCUGUGUGCCGCUCUAUUUAUCUACCUGCCUUGACUUUUCACCAAAAGUUGUUAUGAGGUCGACGUUGUUUUGCCAGAAUGUUCAACAAACUUUUACCCUGGAUGAAGAUUUUAUCAUGGGUCAACCUAUUGGAAGACAAGCUGCAGUGGAUAUUGGUGUAAUGACAAAACCCUGGAAACGUUUUGUUUACGUUGGACUGGAACUCUUUUGUGGACCCGGAACUAUUCUUCAGUCUGGCUGGCAAAUGGAAAAGUGAAUUUCUCUUUGGACAGAUUGAAUGAACGACUGGCCCAUUAUUUAGAGCUUCUAGAACUGAUGUGGACACAUUUCGAAUGGUCAAUCUUCACCUGAAGUAGAACUGAUGAGGGGUACUGAACGUGCAUUCUGUUUGAUGAGUGGAUGAUUUCCUAUAUCCACCCUAAAUCUCAUCCAUGGAUAUCGACCAAAUGUGAAGACAUCGUGAUGUUUGCGAAUGAGCUUUUCUACCUCCUCCGUCUGUUCUGGUGGCAAAGCAGUAGCUUUGAUCUUGGCAUCCAAGUCUACAGACCGUCAAGCUGGCGAUGACCGGUCUGGCUGUCAAGCUGGCGAUGAUCAGCCCCCUCCGCUCUUGCCUGAGACGUUACUGUGAGGCACUUCGUUUCCAGAGGUGAAGCAGAAGUGGACAGUUUCCUUUCCAGCUCCGGACGGCGACUAUACCCACUAAUCGUCAUGGCAAGCAACGCGUCGGACUAUUCCGACUCAUCAACCACCAGGUGCUGACUCCUGGUCUGCAUAGUUGACAUUAGUUUGACUGUCGGAGCCUUCAACUUCUACCUUCCAAACCUUUUUGCUGUGUGUCUCGGAGGUCAAAGACAGCGCUCUAUUAACGUGGGUUCCCGUCGCGCUUUGCUUCGUGUGGAAUUUCGCGUGGUGUUCAGAUGUCAAAUGGGAAUGGGACACAGUACACUUGGUUUUAAUAAAGUUUUGACUUGAU
Thrips palmi is the source of this 2003-nucleotide long non-coding RNA. RefSeq lists it as uncharacterized. NCBI's taxonomy places the organism in Eukaryota, Metazoa, Arthropoda, Insecta, Thysanoptera, Thripidae. The transcript has 11 exons. The record is from RefSeq and is a predicted model, not a curated record.